AGCAGUCAGAGCCCCUUCGUGGGGUGAUGGCGUACCUUUGGUAUAAUGGUUCAGCGACUUACGUUGUGUGGCGAGCUUAACCGUCUAGGGGAGGCGAAGGGAAACCGAGUCUGAAUAGGGCGCACAGUCGCACGGCGUAGACCCGAAACCGGGUGAUCUAUCCAUGCCCAGGGUGAAGGUCCGGUAACACGGACUGGAGGCCCGAACCCACUCCUGUUGCAAAAGUAGGGGAUGAGGUGUGGAUAGGAGUGAAAAGCUAAUCGAACCCGGAGAUAGCUGGUUCUCCUCGAAAGCUAUUUAGGUAGCGCCUCGUGUAUCACUGUUGGGGGUAGAGCACUGUUAUGGCUAGCGGGUCAUUGCGACUUAGCAAACCAUUGCAAACUCCGAAUACCAACACGUGCGAGCACGGGAGACACACGGCGGGUGCUAACGUCCGUCGUGAAAAGGGAAACAACCCAGACCCGCAGCUAAGGUCCCAAAGUCAUGGCUAAGUGGUGAACGAAGUGGGAAGGCAUAGACAGCCAGGAGGUUGGCUUAGAAGCAGCCACC
RNAcentral lists this ribosomal RNA (549 nucleotides) under Candidatus Kaiserbacteria bacterium. RNAcentral's name for it is "partial 23S ribosomal RNA". It matches the Rfam family "Bacterial large subunit ribosomal RNA", at positions 569 to 1120 of the family's 2925-position model. The record is from RNAcentral. Lineage: Bacteria; Candidatus Kaiseribacteriota.